GAUAGGUGGGAGGCUUUGAAGUGUGGACGCCAGUCUGCAUGGAGCCGACCUUGAAAUACCACCCUUUAAUGUUUGAUGUUCUAACGUUGACCCGUAAUCCGGGUUGCGGACAGUGUCUGGUGGGUAGUUUGACUGGGGCGGUCUCCUCCUAAAGAGUAACGGAGGAGCACGAAGGUUGGCUAAUCCUGGUCGGACAUCAGGAGGUUAGUGCAAUGGCAUAAGCCAGCUUGACUGCGAGCGUGACGGCGCGAGCAGGUGCGAAAGCAGGUCAUAGUGAUCCGGUGGUUCUGAAUGGAAGGGCCAUCGCUCAACGGAUAAAAGGUACUCCGGGGAUAACAGGCUGAUACCGCCCAAGAGUUCAUAUCGACGGCGGUGUUUGGCACCUCGAUGUCGGCUCAUCACAUCCUGGGGCUGAAGUAGGUCCCAAGGGUAUGGCUGUUCGCCAUUUAAAGUGGUACGCGAGCUGGGUUUAGAACGUCGUGAGACAGUUCGGUCCCUAUCUGCCGUGGGCGCUGGAGAACUGAGGGGGGCUGCUCCUAGUACGAGAGGACCGGAGUGGACGCAUCACUGGUGUUCGGGUUGUCAUGCCAAUGGCACUGCCCGGUAGCUAAAUGCGGAAGAGAUAAGUGCUGAAAGCAUCUAAGCACGAAACUUGCCCCGAGAUGAGUUCUCCCUGACUCCUUGAGAGUCCUGAAGGAACGUUGAAGACGACGACGUUGAUAGGCCGGGUGUGUAAGCGCAGCGAUGCGUUGAGCUAACCGGUACUAAUGAACCGUGAGG
RNAcentral lists this ribosomal RNA (780 nucleotides) under Escherichia coli. RNAcentral's name for it is "partial 23S ribosomal RNA". It matches the Rfam family "Bacterial large subunit ribosomal RNA", at positions 2142 to 2916 of the family's 2925-position model. The record is from RNAcentral. Lineage: Bacteria; Pseudomonadati; Pseudomonadota; Gammaproteobacteria; Enterobacterales; Enterobacteriaceae.